GACGAACGCUGGCGGCGUGCCUAACACAUGCAAGUCAAAGGAAAGCAACUUCGGUUGUAAGUACUUGGCGCAAGGGUGAGUAAUGUAUAGGUAAUCUGCCCUUAGGACUGGCAUAACUUCGAGAAAUCGAGGACAAUACCAGAUGAUGCAGCGGGACCGCAUGGUCAUGUUGUUAAAGAUUUAUCGCCUAAGGAUGAGCCUAUAUCCCACCAGGUAGUUGGCAGGAUAAUAGCCUACCAAGCCUACGACGGGUAGCUGGUCUGAGAGGAUGAUCAGCCACAUUGGAACUGAGACACGGUCCAGACUCCUACGGGAGGCAGCAGUGAGGAAUAUUGCGCAAUGGGCGAAAGCCUGACGCAGCAACGCCGCGUGGAUGAUGAAGUUCUUCGGAAUGUAAAGUCCUUUUGUAGAGGAAGAACAUGUCGGUUUACCGGCACUGACGGUACUCUGCGAAUAAGCCACGGCUAACUCUGU
RNAcentral lists this ribosomal RNA (474 nucleotides) under uncultured Chlorobiota bacterium. RNAcentral's name for it is "bacterial SSU rRNA". It matches the Rfam family "Bacterial small subunit ribosomal RNA", at positions 28 to 506 of the family's 1533-position model. Lineage: Bacteria; Pseudomonadati; Chlorobiota. The record is from RNAcentral.